Molecule: transfer RNA, 73 nt
Filed under: Chelonia mydas (Green sea turtle)
Lineage: Eukaryota; Metazoa; Chordata; Testudines; Cheloniidae
Rfam family: tRNA
About the family: Transfer RNA (tRNA) molecules are approximately 80 nucleotides in length. Their secondary structure includes four short double-helical elements and three loops (D, anti-codon, and T loops). Further hydrogen bonds mediate the characteristic L-shaped molecular structure. tRNAs have two regions of fundamental functional importance: the anti-codon, which is responsible for specific mRNA codon recognition, and the 3' end, to which the tRNAs corresponding amino acid is attached (by aminoacyl-tRNA synthetases). tRNAs cope with the degeneracy of the genetic code in two manners: having more than one tRNA (with a specific anti-codon) for a particular amino acid; and 'wobble' base-pairing, i.e. permitting non-standard base-pairing at the 3rd anti-codon position.
Source: Rfam by way of RNAcentral
ACCCCAGAAGCCUAAUGGGUAAGGCAUUGGCCUUCUAAGCCAAAAAGUGUAGGUUUGAGUCCCACCUAGGGUA